GAUGAACGCUGGCGGCGUGCCUAAUACAUGCAAGUCGAGCGAACAGACGAGGAGCUUGCUCCUCUGAUGUUAGCGGCGGACGGGUGAGUAACACGUGUAUAACCUACCUAUAAGACUGGGAUAACUUCGGGAAACCGGAUCUAAUACCGGAUAACAUGUUGAACCGCAUGGUUCAACAGUGAAAUACGGUCUUGCUGUCACUUAUAGAUGGAUCCGCGCCGCAUUAGCUAGUUGUUAAGGUAACGGCUUACCAAGGCAACGAUGCGUAGCCGAACUGAGAGGCGGAUCGGCCACACUGGAACUGAGACACGGUCCAGACUCCUAAGGGAGGCAGCAGUAGGGAAUGUUCCGCAAUGGGCGAAAGCAUGACGGAGCAACGCCGCGUGAGUGAAGAAGGUCUUCGGAUCGUAAAACCCUGUUAUUAGGGAAGAACAGAUGUGUAAGUAAACAUGGCGGUAUUGACGGUACCUAAUCAGAAAGCAACGGCUAACUACGUG
RNAcentral lists this ribosomal RNA (497 nucleotides) under uncultured bacterium. RNAcentral's name for it is "partial 16S ribosomal RNA". It matches the Rfam family "Bacterial small subunit ribosomal RNA", at positions 28 to 507 of the family's 1533-position model. The record is from RNAcentral.